This 457-nucleotide ribosomal RNA is filed under the name uncultured bacterium. Its description in RNAcentral is "partial 16S ribosomal RNA". It matches the Rfam family "Bacterial small subunit ribosomal RNA", at positions 29 to 507 of the family's 1533-position model. The record is from RNAcentral.
AUAAACGCUGGCGGCGUGCAUGAGACAUGCAAGUCGAACGAAGGAUCGGGCUUGCUCGAUCCUUCGUGGCGGACGGCUGAGUAACGCGUAGGUGACCUACCCCGAAGUGGGGAAUAACUGCCCGAAAGGGUGGCUAAUACCGCAUGUGGUCGCACGUUCAUUCGUGCGAGUAAAGCCGCAAGGCGCUUCGGGAGGGGCCUGCGUCCGAUUAGCUCGUUGGUGGGGUAAUGGCUUACCAAGGCGACGAUCGGUAGGUGGUCUGAGAGGACGAUCACCCAGACUGGGACUGAGACACGGCCCAGACUCCUACGGGAGGCAGCAGUCGGGAAUUUUGCUCAAUGGGGGAAACCCUGAAGCAGCAACGCCGCGUGAGGGAUGAAGGCCUUCGGGUUGUAAACCUCUUUUGUCAGGGACGAUGAUGACGGUACCUGGCGAAUAAGCCACGGCUAACUACGUG